GAUGAACGCUGGCGGCGUGCCUAAUACAUGCAAGUCGAGCGAACAGACGAGGAGCUUGCUCCUCUGACGUUAGCGGCGGACGGGUGAGUAACACGUAGAUAACCUACCUAUAAGACUGGGAUAACUUCGGGAAACCGGAGCUAAUACCGGAUAAAAUGUGCAACCGCAUGGUUCAAAAGUGAAAGACGCUCUUGCUGUCACUUAUAGAUGGAUCCGCGCCGCAUUAGCUAGUUGGUAAGGUAACGGCUUACCAAGGCAACGAUGCGUAGCCGACCUGAGAGGGUGAUCGGCCACACUGGAACUGAGACACGGUCCAGACUCCUACGGGAGGCAGCAGUAGGGAAUCUUCCGCAAUGGGCGAAAGCCUGACGGAGCAACGCCGCGUGAGUGAAGAAGGUCUUCGGAUCGUAAAACUCUGUUAUUAGGGAAGAACAAAUGUGUAAGUAACUGUGCACGUCUUGACGGUACCUAAUCAGAAAGCCACGGCUAACUACGUG
Molecule: ribosomal RNA, 497 nt
Filed under: uncultured bacterium
Lineage: Bacteria
Description: partial 16S ribosomal RNA
Rfam family: Bacterial small subunit ribosomal RNA
Source: RNAcentral